Long non-coding RNA from Coturnix japonica (Japanese quail), 735 nucleotides. RefSeq lists it as uncharacterized. Lineage: Eukaryota; Metazoa; Chordata; Aves; Galliformes; Phasianidae. The record is from RefSeq and is a predicted model, not a curated record.
UCUGGAGAGCAGGGGAACCACACUUCAAUAGCAUCAUCAGGCCGUCUUUGCCUGCACGCUGAACAGAAUCGAAGUCCUGCUUAAAUCCUCACAGUCAAUUCAGCUGGAAGAUUUUUUUCUUCUUUCUGCUCUACUUGUGGUUGUAUGCAUUAUUACUGUGGUAGCUGAUAUAGAGCUGCUGAACCAGCUGUCUGCUAUCAGGUUCACUGUCCUCUUGUGCAAGGCCAGGCUGAAGGAAGGUAGGUGAUGGUGUAAAAUUGGGGGCACACAUUUUAUAUUGUUAUUUUUAAAUAGGGAAAAGGUAAAUACCAAGGAUAACGAAAGGCUAAUAAUUUUUUUAAUGAUAAAAACAAGCAAGAAAAAUAUACUUAAGUUGAAAAUGAUGUUUUUCCACUGAAUAAUACAACUUAUUAUAGAAACUACAACAGCAACUGAAGUUUAGGUUCUCCCUUUCAUGGUUACCACAGUGAUGGUUUAUUACAACAAUUUCAUCUUCUGGUAACAUUAGCAUAGGAAUUGUAAUAAAACAUUAAUCCCACAGACUGCAGUCUUCGCUUGCUGAUUCUGUGUAUCUACUUGCAUGUCUGGAACCAAUCUUGGCUUAAUAUUUACCAUUUUAGCACCUGAUACCUCAUAUUCCUGCACUGUUUAACUUUAAUGAGAUGAAGGUUGUUUUCUGUACGUGGAAUUCAAUGCACACAACUCAAAAUAGAAUUGAGUAUAGUGAUACUGAAA